Transfer RNA from Vitrella brassicaformis, 72 nucleotides. It matches the Rfam family "tRNA". From Rfam's summary of the family: Transfer RNA (tRNA) molecules are approximately 80 nucleotides in length. Their secondary structure includes four short double-helical elements and three loops (D, anti-codon, and T loops). The record is from Rfam. Lineage: Eukaryota; Vitrellaceae.
GGGGACAUAGCUCAAAGGUAGAGCGUCUGACUCCAGAUCAGACGGUUGGGUGUUCGAGUCGCCCUGUCCUCA